This 717-nucleotide long non-coding RNA is filed under the name Homo sapiens (human). Its description in RNAcentral is "non-protein coding lnc-PPP1R42-1:3". The record is from RNAcentral. Lineage: Eukaryota; Metazoa; Chordata; Mammalia; Primates; Hominidae.
UCCACUUAAUAAAAUAGAAGAUUUUGGUGUACACUGCAAACAAUAUUAUGCCUUAGAAGUCUCAUAUUUCAAAUCCUCUUUGGAUCGCAAAUUGCUUGAGCUGUUGUGGAAUAAAUACUGGGUGAAUACGUUGAGUUCUUCUAGCUUGCUUACUAGGCAAGUAUAUUAAUAGCAGCCAGAAGUGACACCUGAUGGCAAGGGGAGAAAACACUGUUAAGACCAGAACAGUCUGAACCUUUGUAUGAGGCAAGCAGAUCUACCUACUCAGCCCAAUGUCUGUCCCUGUAUUCCAGCACUGCAUACAUGAGGACAUUAAUAAUCAAGAAAAGAAUGCAGACUAUACCACUGGUCAGGUCUUUGAUUUGUCUGAAAAGUUAGAGCAGUCAGAAGCCCAGCUGGGACGAGGGAGUUUCAUGUUGGGUUUAGAAACGCAUGACCGAAAAUCAGAAGACAAACUUGCCAAAGCUACAAGAGACAGCUGUAAAACUACCAUAGAAGCUAUCCAUGGAUUGAUGUCUCAGGUUAUUAAGGAUAAACUGUUUAAUCAAAUUAACAUCUCUUAAACAGUCUCUGAGAAGUACUUUACCUGAAAGACAGUAUGAGAAAAAUAUUCAAGUAACACUUUAAAACCAGUUACCCAAAAUCUGAUUAGAAGUAUAAGGUGCUCUGAAGUGUCCUAAAUAUUAAUAUCCUGUAAUAAAGCUCUUUAAAAUGAAA